GCGCGAAAACUUUACAAUGCUGGCAACAGCGAUAAGGGAACCUCGAGUGCCAGGUUACAAAUCUGGCUGUCGAGAUGCCUAAAAAGCAUUUCAUAGCAAGGGCCGGGCAAGACCGGUGCCAGCCGCCGCGGUAACACCGGCGGCUCGAGUGGUAACCGUUAUUAUUGGGUCUAAAGGGUCUGUAGCCGGCCGGAUAAGUCUCUUGAGAGAUCUGGCAGCUUAACUGUCUGGCUUUCAGGAGAUACUGUCUGGCUCGAGGCCGGGAGAGGUGAGAGGUACUUCAGGGGUAGGGGUGAAAUCUUGUAAUCCUUGAAGGACCACCAGUGGCGAAGGCGUCUCACCAGAACGGACCUGACGGCAAGGGACGAAAGCUAGGGGCACGAACC
Molecule: ribosomal RNA, 386 nt
Filed under: uncultured prokaryote
Description: bacterial SSU rRNA
Rfam family: Archaeal small subunit ribosomal RNA
Source: RNAcentral